UACGAAGGGGGCUAGCGUUGCUCGGAAUUACUGGGCGUAAAGCGCACGUAGGCGGCUCUUUAAGUCGGGGGUGAAAUCCUGGAGCUCAACUCCAGAGCUGCCUUCGAUACUGUAGAGCUUGAGUUCGGGAGAGGUGAGUGGAACUGCGAGUGUAGAGGUGAAAUUCGUAGAUAUUCGCAAGAACACCAGUGGCGAAGGCGGCUCACUGGCCCGAUACUGACGCUGAGGUGCGAAAGCGUGGGGUGCAAACAGG
Molecule: ribosomal RNA, 253 nt
Filed under: uncultured bacterium
Lineage: Bacteria
Description: partial 16S ribosomal RNA
Rfam family: Bacterial small subunit ribosomal RNA
Source: RNAcentral